RNAcentral lists this ribosomal RNA (468 nucleotides) under uncultured bacterium. Its description in RNAcentral is "partial 16S ribosomal RNA". It matches the Rfam family "Bacterial small subunit ribosomal RNA", at positions 28 to 507 of the family's 1533-position model. The record is from RNAcentral.
GACGAACGCUGGCGGCGUGCUUAACACAUGCAAGUCGAACGGAAAGGCCCUGCUUUUGUGGGGUGCUCGAGUGGCGAACGGGUGAGUAACACGUGAGUAACCUGCCCUUGACUUUGGGAUAACUUCAGGAAACUGGGGCUAAUACCGGAUAGGAGCUCCUGCUGCAUGGUGGGGGUUGGAAAGUUUCGGCGGUUGGGGAUGGACUCGCGGCUUAUCAGCUUUUUGGUGGGGUAGUGGCUUACCAAGGCUUUGACGGGUAGCCGGCCUGAGAGGGUGACCGGCCACAUUGGGACUGAGAUACGGCCCAGAAUCCUACGGGAGGCAGCAGUGGGGAAUAUUGCACAAUGGGCGGAAGCCUGAUGCAGCAACGCCGCGUGCGGGAUGACGGCCUUCGGGUUGUAAACCGCUUUCGCCUGUGACGAAGCGUGAGUGACGGUAAUGGGUAAAGAAGCACCGGCUAACUACGUG